This 24-nucleotide small RNA is filed under the name Arabidopsis thaliana (thale cress). Its description in RNAcentral is "ATSL145670". The record is from RNAcentral. Lineage: Eukaryota; Viridiplantae; Streptophyta; Magnoliopsida; Brassicales; Brassicaceae.
AAAGAAAGGGACAAUGUAUGAAUC